GACGAACGCUGGCGGCGUGCCUAAUACAUGCAAGUUGAGCGCUGAAGGUUGGUACUUGUACCAACUGGAUGAGCAGCGAACGGGUGAGUAACGCGUGGGGAAUCUGCCUUUGAGCGGGGGACAACAUUUGGAAACGAAUGCUAAUACCGCAUAAAAACUUUAAACACAAGUUUUAAGUUUGAAAGAUGCAAUUGCAUCACUCAAAGAUGAUCCCGCGUUGUAUUAGCUAGUUGGUUAGGUAAAGGCUCACCAAGGCGAUGAUACAUAGCCGACCUGAGAGGGUGGUCGGCCACAUUGGGACUGGGACCCGGCCCAAACUCCUACGGGAGGCAGCAGUAGGGAAUCUUCGGCAAUGGACGCAAGUCUGACCGAGCAACGCCGCGUGAGUGAAGAAGGUUUUCGGAUCGUAAAACUCUGUUGGUAGAGAAGAACGUUGGUGAGAGUGGAAAGCUCAUCAAGUGACGGUAACUACCCAGAAAGGGACGGCUAACUACGUG
RNAcentral lists this ribosomal RNA (497 nucleotides) under uncultured bacterium. RNAcentral describes it as "partial 16S ribosomal RNA". It matches the Rfam family "Bacterial small subunit ribosomal RNA", at positions 28 to 507 of the family's 1533-position model. The record is from RNAcentral.